Molecule: long non-coding RNA, 459 nt
Organism: Vespula pensylvanica (western yellowjacket)
Lineage: Eukaryota; Metazoa; Arthropoda; Insecta; Hymenoptera; Vespidae
Exons: 2
Source: RefSeq, a predicted model, not a curated record
CGUCUCAACGAAUCCAACCUUCUUCGAUAUUCUCCCCGACUUUCUGGCUCCUAUAAUAAAAGAAAUCCACGAAAACGGAUGCUGCUAGCAAGAGCUGCUGUUGCUAUUGCUUCUCUAACCAUUGCUGUUGGUGUUGGUAUUGUUGCUUUUGCUGCUGAUGCAUGGAAGUAUAUUUUCAUUCUACUCGUUCUCUGUUUCUUUCUAUCUCCCUUUUCACAGACUCCCCAUAUCCGAGAGAAAGGAAGAAGAAGAAGUUACGGGGCUUUCUACUUUAAUGGAUAUUCUCGGAAGUCGCUUGCUUAUCUUUUGCGAAGGCGAGAAUAAAGAAAAGGGAGGGUUAAUAAACUUGAAUGUUCGUCUAGAAUUUCAUCUUCUUUACUUAGUUAAAUAUUCUGCAAUGAUUUUGUACCAAUUUACAGAUAUAAAGAAUACAAAAUCAGAGGUUCCUAUGUGCAAAAA